This is a long non-coding RNA of Parus major (Great Tit), 460 nucleotides long. RefSeq lists it as uncharacterized. NCBI's taxonomy places the organism in Eukaryota, Metazoa, Chordata, Aves, Passeriformes, Paridae. The record is from RefSeq and is a predicted model, not a curated record. The transcript has 2 exons.
UUUUUCUUUUUUUCUUUGUUUGCAACCAUAUAACUCCUCAUAGAACUAAUACAAUACCUUUCAAUACCUUUAUUUAGGUUACAAUGGUUGCAACGAUAGUUUCCCAAUAAAGGAACAUAUCUGACAACUUUGAGCUACAUUCUUUUAGAUAAUGCCAAAACAAGAUAUUUAAAGGCAGAUUCCAUUUCUACCAGUGUCCCACAAUUUGGAGCUGCACACUGCUCCUUUAGCAGCACUAAGGAUGGGGAGGAAAAGCUCAUCCCACUGCUCUUCCCAGCAGAAGGAUACAGGAGAUAGAGGUAGCAGCAGUUGGCACAUCAGGAGUUAAACAAUUUGCUUUUCUUUAACAACACUUCAUUUCUGCCCUCAAAGUUUAUCUACAUUAAAAUAUUCUAAAUGUAGUGUGUUUCUGUAAGUCUAAUUAUAUGCAGCAUGCGAAAACAUAUUUGAUAAUCACAUU